Molecule: non-coding RNA, 29 nt
Filed under: Rattus norvegicus (Norway rat)
Lineage: Eukaryota; Metazoa; Chordata; Mammalia; Rodentia; Muridae
Source: RNAcentral
UGGGAACAAUUUUAAAAGGCACUGUGAGC